This 602-nucleotide ribosomal RNA is filed under the name uncultured bacterium. RNAcentral's name for it is "bacterial SSU rRNA". It matches the Rfam family "Bacterial small subunit ribosomal RNA", at positions 338 to 950 of the family's 1533-position model. The record is from RNAcentral.
CCUACGGGAGGCAGCAGUGGGGAAUAUUGCACAAUGGGCGCAAGCCUGAUGCAGCAACGCCGCGUGAGGGACGACGGCCUUCGGGUUGUAAACCUCUUUUAGUAGGGAAGAAGCGAAAGUGACGGUACCUGCAGAAAAAGCACCGGCUAACUACGUGCCAGCAGCCGCGGUAAUACGUAGGGUGCAAGCGUUAUCCGGAAUUAUUGGGCGUAAAGAGCUCGUAGGCGGUUUGUCGCGUCUGCUGUGAAAACUGGAGGCUCAACCUCCAGCCUGCAGUGGGUACGGGCAAACUAGAGUGCGGUAGGGGAGAUUGGAAUUCCUGGUGUAGCGGUGGAAUGCGCAGAUAUCAGGAGGAACACCGAUGGCGAAGGCAGAUCUCUGGGCCGUAACUGACGCUGAGGAGCGAAAGCAUGGGGAGCGAACAGGAUUAGAUACCCUGGUAGUCCAUGCCGUAAACGUUGGGCGCUAGAUGUGGGGACCAUUCCACGGUUUCCGUGUCGCAGCUAACGCAUUAAGCGCCCCGCCUGGGGAGUACGGCCGCAAGGCUAAAACUCAAAGGAAUUGACGGCGNGAGACGNGCGACGACGACGACGAGGGAGAGG